Molecule: ribosomal RNA, 1267 nt
Filed under: Microbacterium testaceum
Lineage: Bacteria; Bacillati; Actinomycetota; Actinomycetes; Micrococcales; Microbacteriaceae
Description: bacterial SSU rRNA
Rfam family: Bacterial small subunit ribosomal RNA
Source: RNAcentral
UGCUUGGUGGAUCAGUGGCGAACGGGUGAGUAACACGUGAGCAACCUGCCCUGGACUCUGGGAUAAGCGCUGGAAACGGCGUCUAAUACUGGAUAUGAGACGUGAUCGCAUGGUCGUGUUUGGAAAGAUUUUUCGGUCUGGGAUGGGCUCGCGGCCUAUCAGCUUGUUGGUGAGGUAAUGGCUCACCAAGGCGUCGACGGGUAGCCGGCCUGAGAGGGUGACCGGCCACACUGGGACUGAGACACGGCCCAGACUCCUACGGGAGGCAGCAGUGGGGAAUAUUGCACAAUGGGCGGAAGCCUGAUGCAGCAACGCCGCGUGAGGGAUGACGGCCUUCGGGUUGUAAACCUCUUUUAGCAGGGAAGAAGCGAAAGUGACGGUACCUGCAGAAAAAGCGCCGGCUAACUACGUGCCAGCAGCCGCGGUAAUACGUAGGGCGCAAGCGUUAUCCGGAAUUAUUGGGCGUAAAGAGCUCGUAGGCGGUUUGUCGCGUCUGCUGUGAAAUCCCGAGGCUCAACCUCGGGCCUGCAGUGGGUACGGGCAGACUAGAGUGCGGUAGGGGAGAUUGGAAUUCCUGGUGUAGCGGUGGAAUGCGCAGAUAUCAGGAGGAACACCGAUGGCGAAGGCAGAUCUCUGGGCCGUAACUGACGCUGAGGAGCGAAAGGGUGGGGAGCAAACAGGCUUAGAUACCCUGGUAGUCCACCCCGUAAACGUUGGGAACUAGUUGUGGGGACCAUUCCACGGUUUCCGUGACGCAGCUAACGCAUUAAGUUCCCCGCCUGGGGAGUACGGCCGCAAGGCUAAAACUCAAAGGAAUUGACGGGGACCCGCACAAGCGGCGGAGCAUGCGGAUUAAUUCGAUGCAACGCGAAGAACCUUACCAAGGCUUGACAUAUACGAGAACGGGCCAGAAAUGGUCAACUCUUUGGACACUCGUAAACAGGUGGUGCAUGGUUGUCGUCAGCUCGUGUCGUGAGAUGUUGGGUUAAGUCCCGCAACGAGCGCAACCCUCGUUCUAUGUUGCCAGCACGUAAUGGUGGGAACUCAUGGGAUACUGCCGGGGUCAACUCGGAGGAAGGUGGGGAUGACGUCAAAUCAUCAUGCCCCUUAUGUCUUGGGCUUCACGCAUGCUACAAUGGCCGGUACAAAGGGCUGCAAUACCGUAAGGUGGAGCGAAUCCCAAAAAGCCGGUCCCAGUUCGGAUUGAGGUCUGCAACUCGACCUCAUGAAGUCGGAGUCGCUAGUAAUCGCAGAUCAGCAACGCUGC